AUGUCCGUGUCAGGGCUCAAGGCCGAGCUGAAGUUCCUGGCGUCCAUCCUCGACAAGAACCACGAGCGAUUCCGCAUCCUCAGCUGGAAGCUGGAGGAGCUGCGCUGCCAGGUCCUAGUGCCCGGCCAGGCUGCCCCGCCGGCCGCUCACGCUCCACGGCAACAUCACGGAAUCCGAUCCAACUUCUUCACCGAGAUGGUUUGCGGACUCUGAUGACCCAAAUCUGACAUGAGUUCUGGGACGUCUAGAAGACGCUAAGAACAACAAUUCGCUUUGUCAGCAAUUGAAGUGGUUGAUAUGUGAACCCUGCAGAUUAUAUAACCUUCCUAAGCACCUGGAUGUUGAGAUGCUAGAUCAACCACUACCCACGGGUCAGAAUGGGACAGCAGAAGUGACUUCAGAAGAAGAUGAAGAAGAAGAGAUGGCUGAAGAUACAGAAGACUUAGAUCACUAUGAAAUGAGGGAAGAAGAGCCUAUUAGUGGGAAACAGUCAGAGGAUGAAGGAAUUGAAAAAGAAAAUUUGGCAACCUUAGAGAAAAUUAGGAAGACUCAAAGGCAAGACUAUUUAAAUGGUGCGGUGUCUGGGUCAGUGCAAGCUUCGGAUAGACUUAUGAAAGAGCUCAGGGACAUAUACCCAUCACAGAGUUAUAAAAUAGGGAUUUAUUCAGUGGAACUCAUAAAUGACAGUGUAUAUGACUGGCAUGUUAAACUGCAGAAGGUAGACCCUGAUAGUCCUUUGCACAGUGAUCUUCAGCUCUUAAAAGAGAAAGAAGGCAUAGAAUAUAUAUUGCUUAACUUCUCUUUUAAGGAUAACUUUCCAUUUCAUCCUCCAUUUGUUCAAGCGGUAUUACCUGUUCUCUCAGGAAGGUAUGUAUUGGGCGGAGGAGCAUUACGUAUGGAACUUCUCACAAAACAGGGCUGGAACCGUGCCUACUUGAUAGAAUCGGUCAUCAUGCAAAUAAACGCCACCUUAGUCAAAGGCAAAGCCAGAGUGCAGUUUGGAGCAAAUAAGAAUCAGUAUAAUCUAGCAAGAGCCCAACAGUCUUAUAAUUCCAUUGUANCCCUCCCGCCGGAGAUG
This is an RNA transcript of Cebus imitator (Panamanian white-faced capuchin), 1078 nucleotides long. It is a transcript of the gene named ubiquitin-conjugating enzyme E2 Q2-like, with no coding region annotated. The record is from RefSeq and is a predicted model, not a curated record. The transcript has a single exon. NCBI's taxonomy places the organism in Eukaryota, Metazoa, Chordata, Mammalia, Primates, Cebidae.